GAAAAAAGGUGCAUUGACAAACAUUGGGCACAAUGAUAGCAGAAAAGACCUCGCACCCAAUGCUCCAUUUUUCAGGACUUGCUAUUCCCUUAUCACAACUCACCUUGAAUGCAAAAAAACAAAACAAUAGCUACCAACCUGGGAAGGGAGCGUUUUAAGAUUUAAAACAGAAUUGUCAUCUGCAACCCCAUCAACAUCUAAAGGGAAAUUGUCCCAAAAAAUGCAUUUGAUAAAGGCAUAUGAUUCAUUGUUG
Pelobates cultripes (western spadefoot toad) is the source of this 253-nucleotide non-coding RNA. Lineage: Eukaryota; Metazoa; Chordata; Amphibia; Anura; Pelobatidae. The record is from the annotation of a GenBank genome assembly.